This 266-nucleotide long non-coding RNA is filed under the name Mytilus galloprovincialis (Mediterranean mussel). Lineage: Eukaryota; Metazoa; Mollusca; Bivalvia; Mytilida; Mytilidae. The record is from RNAcentral.
UGUACAAUAUUUAAUCCUGAUGAGUUUAUUUACACCUCACAAUCAUUUCAUACACCAAAUAUAUCUCACCUAUUGCCUUUAGUGUCUUAUAAAAUGACAAAAUUACGAAAAACUUAUUAUAGAACAAUAAACCAUGAAAAUGAGGUCGAGAUCAGAUGGAUUAGUACACCUUACAAUAAUAUAAAACCACAAAAACUACACAUUGUCCAAUGAACCAGGAACAUGGGGUAUAGUAAGUUUAAACCUGCCAGCCGGACAUGUACACC